This 220-nucleotide ribosomal RNA is filed under the name uncultured Entrophospora. Its description in RNAcentral is "uncultured Claroideoglomus partial small subunit ribosomal RNA". It matches the Rfam family "Eukaryotic small subunit ribosomal RNA", at positions 665 to 864 of the family's 1831-position model. Lineage: Eukaryota; Fungi; Glomeromycota; Glomeromycetes; Entrophosporales; Entrophosporaceae. The record is from RNAcentral.
GGAUUGACACAUCGGUCGUGCCUUAAGGGGUAUGAACUGGUGUAGUCAAUUUCUCACCUUCUGGAGAACCGCGAUGCCCUUAAUUGGGUGUCACGGGGAACCAGGACCUUUACUUUGAAAAAAUUAGAGUGUUUAAAGCAGGCAUACGCUUGAAUACAUUAGCAUGGAAUAAUGAAAUAGGACGUUUGAUUCUAUUUUGUUGGUUUCUAGGAUCGACGUA